GACGUAGGGUGCGAGCGUUGUCCGGAUUUAUUGGGCGUAAAGAGCUCGUAGGCGGCUCGUCGCGUCGACCGUGAAAACCCGCGGCUUAACUGCGGGCUUGCGGUUGAUACGGGCGGGCUAGAGUUCGGUAGGGGAGACUGGAAUUCCUGGUGUAGCGGUGAAAUGCGCAGAUAUCAGGAGGAACACCAGUGGCGAAGGCGGGUCUCUGGGCCGAUACUGACGCUGAGGAGCGAAAGCCAGGGGAGCAAACGGG
RNAcentral lists this ribosomal RNA (253 nucleotides) under uncultured bacterium. RNAcentral's name for it is "partial 16S ribosomal RNA". It matches the Rfam family "Bacterial small subunit ribosomal RNA", at positions 524 to 776 of the family's 1533-position model. The record is from RNAcentral.